GAGGAAGAGGGGCGGGACUGGGGCCUGACUAGUCGUCGCCGUCUUCGCGGCUGCUAUGACCAGCGGGCGAGGCGCCCUUCGCAGCUCCGCGCAACGCUAGUCGCGGCCGUGCGCCCGCCGUAGCCGUCUGCGUCCCAGCGCGGCCGCUCCCGCGGCCCCCUCGGCUUUGCCAGCGCCGCCUGCGAGGCGGAGGCAGGAUGAAGAUGACUGUGGAUUUCGAGGAGUGUCUGAAGGACUCGCCCCGCUUCAGCUCGUUGAAGGGGGCACAGCUGUCGAGAGGUACCGGGCUGAGGGCGGAGGACUAGCAGAAAAGUGCAUUUCUGUUUUGAGAACGGAAGUAGGAGGGCCGUGAAGAUUGCCUGUGUGUUCCUCUUCCAGCAGCCUCUGCCCAGGAGGGCCCGGAUCACAGUCGGAUGCUCCCAGUGGAUCUGUCACAGAGUUGACAUGGGGGCACUCCGAUUCACAUGGGUUGCCCUUCUUUCUAUGUGAGAGGCGGUCGUCCUGAGGCCGUCCAGGACACAGGUUCUUUCUGUUUUGAGGAUAGUAGGAAAGUCUUGAGUUGUUUUGGACAAUGGAGU
This 578-nucleotide long non-coding RNA is filed under the name Homo sapiens (human). RNAcentral's name for it is "non-protein coding lnc-PPP1R2-2:1". The record is from RNAcentral. Lineage: Eukaryota; Metazoa; Chordata; Mammalia; Primates; Hominidae.